This is a long non-coding RNA of Planococcus citri (citrus mealybug), 644 nucleotides long. RefSeq lists it as uncharacterized. NCBI's taxonomy places the organism in Eukaryota, Metazoa, Arthropoda, Insecta, Hemiptera, Pseudococcidae. The record is from RefSeq and is a predicted model, not a curated record. The transcript has 2 exons.
AGCUCAAAUCGAGUGGGAAAAAAGAUUACAAAUGAAACCAUUCGCAUGCCCUAAUAAAUGUGGCAGAAGAUACAAACAGAAACGAAACAUGGUGUACCAUUAUCGUCACGAAUGUGGUCAAGGUCGUAAAUUCCAAUGCAAGUUCUGCUUGAAGCAUUUUAAUAGAAAUUUUUCCCUGCAUUCUCACAUAAUCGCUGUGCAUAAAGUUACAGAUUUUUAAUUUCUCGUGUUUCUAUGGUGAAAUCCAAGCCCCAUCGAUGGGUUACCAACAAAUGCAAAAAAAAUUAGAAUGCGUCGCUUGCGGAAAACGUUUUAUAUUGAUGAAAGAUAUGCUGACUCAUUGUAAAUUCAGUUGUGAUAAAAGAGCCACGUUCGAAUGUAAAUUCUGUAAGAAGAGAUUCAUACAUAAAGUAUCUCUACGAAGACACACUUUGACCGUUCAUAAAUCCGAGGAUUACGUUUAAUUUAAAUUUUUUUAGUAUCCACAUAUUGUUGGUUCUUUUGUGAUUUUUUACUGUGAGAUUGUUUUUUCCUAUAUUUUCAGUUUAUUUAUUGAUAAUUUAUUAAGUAAAAAAUACCCUGAUUUUAAUCCUAUCAGUUUUGAAUUGUUUUCUAGAAAUUAAAUUAUGUUGACUUUCUCAGUA